RNAcentral lists this ribosomal RNA (468 nucleotides) under uncultured bacterium. RNAcentral describes it as "partial 16S ribosomal RNA". It matches the Rfam family "Bacterial small subunit ribosomal RNA", at positions 28 to 507 of the family's 1533-position model. The record is from RNAcentral.
GACGAACGCUGGCGGCGUGCUUAACACAUGCAAGUCGAACGGAAAGGCCCUGCUUUUGUGGGGUGCUCGAUUGGCGAACGGGUGAGUAACACGUGAGUAACCUGCCCUUGACUUUGUGAUAACUUCAGGAAACUGGGGCUCAUACCGGAUAUAAGCUCCUGCUGCAUGUUGGUGGUUGGAAAGUUUCGGCGGUGGGGGAUGGACUGGCGGCUUAUCCGCUUGUUGGGCGGGUAGUUGCUUACCAAGGCUUUGACGGGUAGCCGGCAUGAGAGGGUGAACGGCGACAUUGGGACUGAGGUACGGCGCAGACGCCUAAGGGAGGCAGCAGGGGGGAAUAUUGCACAAUGGGCGGAAGUGUGAUGCAGAAACGCCGCGUGCGGAAUGACGGCUUUCGGGUUGUAAACCGAUUUCGCCUGUGCCGAAGAGUGAGUGACGGUAAUGGGUAAAGAAGCACCGGCUAACUACGUG